RNAcentral lists this ribosomal RNA (570 nucleotides) under bacterium A2. RNAcentral describes it as "bacterial SSU rRNA". It matches the Rfam family "Bacterial small subunit ribosomal RNA", at positions 1 to 585 of the family's 1533-position model. The record is from RNAcentral.
UAAACACUGCGGGGGUCSUCCGCUGGUCGCAUGGCGUGGUUGCCGCCUGUGUCUGGACGCUUGCUGGCUGAAAUUCGGCGGCGGACGGGUGAUUAAUGCCUAGGAAUCUGCCUGGUAGUGGGGGACAACGUUUCGAAAGGAACGCUAAUACCGCAUACGUCCUACGGGAGAAAGCAGGGGACCUUCGGGCCUUGCGCUAUCAGAUGAGCCUAGGUCGGAUUAGCUAGUUGGUGAGGUAAUGGCUCACCAAGGCGACGAUCCGUAACUGGUCUGAGAGGAUGAUCAGUCACACUGGAACUGAGACACGGUCCAGACUCCUACGGGAGGCAGCAGUGGGGAAUAUUGGACAAUGGGCGAAAGCCUGAUCCAGCCAUGCCGCGUGUGUGAAGAAGGUCUUCGGAUUGUAAAGCACUUUAAGUUGGGAGGAAGGGCAUUAACCUAAUACGUUAGUGUUUUGACGUUCCGACAGAAUAAGCACCGCUAACUCUGUGCCAGCAGCCGCGGUAAUACAGAGGGUGCAAAGCGUUAAUCGGAAUUACUGGGCGUAAAGCGCGCGUAGGUGGUUUGUUA